GAUCAGUGGCUCGAGGACGACGCUGGCGGCGUGCCUAACACAUGCAAGUCGAACGGGGUAGAUUCCUUCGGGGAUCUACUUAGUGGCGAACGGGUGAGUAACGCGUGAGGAACCUGCCUUUCAGAGGGGGACAACAGUUGGAAACGACUGCUAAUACCGCAUGAUGUAUCGAGAUCGCAUGGUUUUGGUACCAAAGAUUUUAUCGCUGAAAGAUGGCCUCGCGUCUGAUUAGCUAGUUGGUGAGGUAACGGCCCACCAAGGCGACGAUCAGUAGCCGGACUGAGAGGUUGACCGGCCACAUUGGGACUGAGAUACGGCCCAGACUCCUACGGGAGGCAGCAGUGGGGAAUAUUGCACAAUGGGGGAAACCCUGAUGCAGCAACGCCGCGUGAGUGAAGAAGUAUUUCGGUAUGUAAAGCUCUAUCAGCAGGGAAGAAAAUGACGGUACCUGACUAAGAAGCCCCGGCUAACUACGUG
This 477-nucleotide ribosomal RNA is filed under the name uncultured bacterium. RNAcentral describes it as "bacterial SSU rRNA". It matches the Rfam family "Bacterial small subunit ribosomal RNA", at positions 15 to 507 of the family's 1533-position model. The record is from RNAcentral.